RNAcentral lists this ribosomal RNA (566 nucleotides) under uncultured bacterium. RNAcentral's name for it is "partial 16S ribosomal RNA". It matches the Rfam family "Bacterial small subunit ribosomal RNA", at positions 355 to 1375 of the family's 1533-position model. The record is from RNAcentral.
UGGGGAAUAUUGGACAAUGGGCGCAAGCCUGAUCCAGCCAUGCCGCGUGAGUGAUGAAGGCCUUAGGGUUGUAAAGCUCUUUUAUCCGGGACGAUAAUGACGGUACCGGAGGAAUAAGCCCCGGCUAACUUCGUGCCAGCAGCCGCGGUAAUACAAAGGGGGCUAGCGUUGCUCGGAAUCACUGGGCGUAAAGGGCGCGUAGGCGGCGUUUUAAGUCGGGGGUGAAAGCCUGUGGCUCAAGCCCACAAGAAUGGCCUUCGAUACUGGGACGCUUGAGUAUGGUAGAGGUUGGUGGAACUGCGAGUGUAGAGGUGAAAUUCGUAGAUAUUCGCAAGAACACCGGUGGCGAAGGCGGCCAACUGGACCAUUACUGACGCUGAGGCGCGAAAAGCGUGGGGAGCAAACAGGAUUAGAUACCCGUGGUAGUCCACGCCGUAAAACGAUGAAUGCCAGCUGUUGGGGUGCUUGCACCGCAGUAGCGCAGCUAACGCUUUGAGCAUUCCGCCUGGGGAGUACGGUCGCAAGAUUAAAACUCAAAUGAAUUGACGGGGUCAUAGCUGUUUCCU